RNAcentral lists this unclassified non-coding RNA (2294 nucleotides) under Zea mays. RNAcentral describes it as "misc RNA Zm00001eb061040". The record is from RNAcentral. Lineage: Eukaryota; Viridiplantae; Streptophyta; Magnoliopsida; Poales; Poaceae.
UCAAAUUGUCUUCCUGCAAUCCACCACAGCCAGCAAGGGUUGCAACUUGCAAGAGAGUUGUGUGACUGAUGGUAGUAUAUGCUUCUCUCUUUUUUUUAUCUGAAGCAGCAAGCUCCCCAUCAUAAAUUUUCUUUCCUUUAUUUCUUCCUGGGAGCAAAAGGUUACCUUCAUUAUCAGUGGCAUGGGUUUAGCUACAAAUGACUCAGGAUCAUUCAAAUAUAAGCUCAGUUAAUCAUCUGAAUAAAGGAAAGCUGACGCGGCCCAAACACAACGGCCCAACAGGACAAACUACGGUGCACCAUUGACAGAAGCCAGGCCCAGACUUCAGCCAUUGCCACUUAAAUUCUUUUUUCCCGGCGUGCUUGGAAGUUUUGCAGUGUUGGCUCCACGAGAUGCUUGCUAGCCCGGGCGAGCCAUUUUGGCUAGCAGCGUCCGGUGUUUGAAGAGUUCUUGAGUGGAUUUUCAUGUGCAUGUUUUGUGAUCUCUGCAGCUGUUUGCCCUUUCCAUUCAAGUCAUGAAUGUUCUUGAGGGGAUGUCCCGUUUCGAUCUUUUUCUUCUUCGCCAAUUUCCUUUUGCACAUCGAACAGGAGCAGCACAGGCACUCGGGCAGGCUACUAUAAAAACAACCGACUCAGCGAGCGAUUCGUUAGAACCCCAAACCCCAAACGCCAAACCAAACCAAACCUCCCGCCCUCUCCCCACUUUCAUCCCCUCCCCGCAACGGCCCAACCACCAUGGCGUCUUCCUCCUCCAGCCCCUCGUCAACUUCGCCCUCCACCGCUUCACGUUCUGAAUACCAAGAUACCGAUCAUUUGGCCGCUCAGUCCCUCUACGAGACGACGUAUCCUCCGCUCCCCACCCGUGAAGCCGCUCCAACAACGAGCGCCGCCCUCGGCGUCGCACCAGGCGCCAUCAACGCCUCGGCCACCGCGCCCGGCGUCUCCCGCUCCAACACACGAUCUCAAAUAUACCACACCCUCUGGGGCGGCACCAAACGCGUCCCCCUGCCCACCAACAUCUCCCUCGCCCUCGCGCACCAGAGGAGAUGUCGAGGUCGGACUCGGACUCGGAACUCCGCGGAUGUCUCCCAGCCCCGCCGGAAUAACCCCGUGGGCUUAUCCCAGCACGUCUCCUACGCGUCGCGCCUGGACCUGGAUUCGGGGUGGGGUACCGCACCGGCCCCGACGUCCGCGCUCGCCCCGAUGAGGUCGUCCACCGCGAACCCGUCGCCGCCUACGUCGGCAUGGACCAGGCCCUUCCUCUCGUCGAGCACCGUGGCCUCAACCCGGACGGACAACAGGAUAGCCGUCGCCGCCACGCCGCCACCCGACACCACGCUGGUGCCCGACGCGCCAGGCUACGCGCCCGCCGUGGCGACGAGCGUUGACACCGAGCCGGAGCCGAACGCGUCCAUCUCCACCACCUAUUUCGCGCCCGCCGUGGCGACGAGCGCUGACACCGCGCCGGAGCCGAACGCGUCCAUCUCCACCACCUCUUUCGCGCCCGCCAUGGCGACGAGUGCUGACACCGCGCCGGAGCCGAACGCGUCCAUCUCCACCACCUCUUUCGCGUCCGCCGUGGCGACGAGCGCUGACACCGCGCCGGAGCCGGACGCGUCCAUCUCCACCACCUAUUUCGCGCCCGCCGUGGCGACGAGCGCUGACACCGAGCCGGAGCCGGACGCGUCCAUCUCCACCACCUCUUUCGCGCCCGCCGUGGCGACGAGCGCUGACACCGCGCCGGAGCCGAAUGCGUCCAUCUCCACCACCUCUUUCGCGCCCGCCGUGGCGACGAGCGCUGAUACCGUGCCGGAGCCGGACGCGUCCAUCUCCACCACCUCUUUCGCGGCCGGCGUGACGACGAGCGCUGACACCGCGCCGGAGCCGGACGCGUUCAUCUCCACCGCCUCUUUCGCGCCCGGCGUGACGACGAGCGCCGACCGCGCGCUAGAGCUAGACGCGCUCACCUCCGCCUCCUCUUCUGCACCCGGCGCAGACCCAGACAUCUCCAGCAUUAUAGACGACUUGGAGACCUUGUUCGUUGCAGGAUCGGGCAUGCAAGCGAUCGGCGACAGAGGCGUGCACCCCGUCGACGACUUCUAUCCGGACCUAUUCCAGGCGUGGCGAGAGGAUGUCGCGUCGCGGGCGUGGCGAGAGGAUGUCGCCCCGCGGGCUGGGCGAGAGCAUUUCGCGUCGCGGGCGUGGCCACAGGAUGUCGCGCCGCGGACGUUCGGCUACUACGACAUACCUGCCGCCGACAUCCCGCUCUGUUCGGAGUGCCGCAUCCGAUCCGCA